This 563-nucleotide long non-coding RNA is filed under the name Pongo abelii (Sumatran orangutan). RNAcentral's name for it is "lincRNA". The record is from RNAcentral. Lineage: Eukaryota; Metazoa; Chordata; Mammalia; Primates; Hominidae.
GACCACUUUCAUCUCUGCCAUGGCGAACGCCUGCCCGAUGCAGUUCCUGCAGGCGGGAGUGGGGACUGUGACUGCGCCCAAGACCCGCAUUUGGGUCCCAUCAACCCGGGAACCUGGCCCGGGACCCCCAACCACACCCAGCUCAGCCUGAGAGAUAGAGAGAAGGACUAAGCGUGCCUGGGACCCCCCAUGUGGGCUUGUAUGUCCCGGAGACUGGGCCUGACUCCACCUCCCAGCUCAGACCAGCAGAUGGAGAAGGGGAUUUUCAGCACUCCGCGGACCCCUCUAGGACCUACUCAUCCCCAUUCUAUGGACGUUUUCCCGUAAACUGUGAAGGAAUGGAGGGAAGGAGAGCUGGAACUGGGACCAUCUGCAGUGUCCCCCUUUUUUUAACUCCCGCACCCAUCAUCCCAUCCCUGCCUCAGACACAGGGCGCUCUUACCUGGGCCCUGCAGAGAAGGGAAUAAAAGCCAGAGGUGACCUCUCCUUGCUGUUCUCUGGGUCAAAGCGGAAGGGGUCAUAGACCUGCAGUUUCAGAAUUAGCAGUGCCCUGUGGGCUGCAU